AAGGGGCCGAGGCGCCUUAACGGUCCAGAGCCUGUCGGGUCUCUGCUGGCGGCGGCUGACCGGGUCAGGGGGCUCGCUGAAGAGAUGAAAGCAAUGGAAGUCUGUCAAUGGCCAGAGCAGGCACCAGCAUGACCACAAGAUGUCCCAAGAGCAUGGUGUGCUUGGUUUUUCUUAUUAAAUGCUUACUCUUUAUAAAAUGUUACUUACUUGUGAAUUCGCUAGGUAUUUGCCUAUUGAUGAAUUAAUCUUUUUCACAUGCUGUUAAUUUAAUUUUGCAGAGGUGAUCAGUUCUAAUACUUAAAUUUUUGCCUUUGUGUUGCCCGUUCAUUCCUGUCCAGAAUGAAUGUGGUGUCAAAAAAGGCAAACAGGAAUUCUUGCUUAAACUGUUUAAGGAGCUGGUUAUUUACCUUUCUCCUCCCUGUUUUUGCAAGGACAAAAAAAAUCUAGAAAUUGUAUGGUUGAGCAGUUACAUGGUAGACUUUGUGCUUCAGUCUUUUUAAAUGAAGAAUCUGACAGUUAGUAUAAGAGGAAAAACUAAAAUUAUAACGGCCACUUCUAGCAUUGUUUAGCUGUCCUGUCUAUUGUGAUAAGAUCUUACAUCUGUGCUGCAAGUAAUUAGUACAUAACAUUUCAGACUCCUGCAGUGGCCUCUAGUUUUUCUAUUGCAAAAAGAUCUCUACAGCUUCAGAAUACUCAGCUACAGAAAAGAUUAAAAUCUUCUUUAAUGGGGAAAAAACAUGUUCUGCCUUUGUGCAUUUACCUUUUUGUUAUUUAUGUCUGGUAUUGGAAAGGUAUAAAGAGAAUCUCUCUGCAGGACUCUUUGAUUUGGGUAAUAAUGUAUUCUACUCUUUUGCUGUACACAGAACAGUCUUUCCUUCAUACACCUUUGAAAAUGUAAAGUAUAUUUUAAUAUUGCUGUUGCAGGCAGCUCGCACCUUGGGGACUGUGGCGCCUGUUCCUACCAGAAUGCUUAACGCUACGAACAGUUCUUUCAGAGUUCUAGUGUGUUUUGCUGAAAGUUCAGAAGCUCACAGAGAUAGCCCGAUGUGGAGAAAGCCUCUAAGCAUGAGAAGGGCAUGUAGGAAAAAGUUACAAAGUACUGAUUGCCCAGCUGUCCUGCAACUUCCUUCAUUAGGAAAGAAUGUAACAGAAGUCUUCUGUGAAGUGAUGAAAUUCCUUCAAGUUUGUCACAGUGCCCUUGAAAAUACUAGAAUCGGAAAGGUUCAUGCAUUGAAAUGUGAAAAUCUGCUUGAGCAACAUGAAAAACACAGAUGCAGUUAUUGCUUUACCAGUGCUGUCGAUAAAAAAUGAACUAGUGAAAUCCAUCCCAGACCUUCAGCACCAUAGGCACUGGGGGUUUUUGCAAGGCUGAAUAGAAGGAUGGGCACCCUUUAUAUGAACCUGCCAGACACUGGGAAGAGAAAUGAAGAAUUGUUAUAACAAGCCUGAGACCAGCGGGAAUCUCUGCAGGACCACUCCCUAAGAAACAAACUGUUAAAAAGAUG
Molecule: long non-coding RNA, 1505 nt
Organism: Haliaeetus leucocephalus (bald eagle)
Lineage: Eukaryota; Metazoa; Chordata; Aves; Accipitriformes; Accipitridae
Exons: 4
Source: RefSeq, a predicted model, not a curated record